RNAcentral lists this ribosomal RNA (301 nucleotides) under uncultured bacterium. RNAcentral describes it as "partial 16S ribosomal RNA". It matches the Rfam family "Bacterial small subunit ribosomal RNA", at positions 509 to 809 of the family's 1533-position model. The record is from RNAcentral.
CAGCAGCCGCGGUAAUACGGAGGGUGCGAGCGUUAAUCGGAAUAACUGGGCGUAAAGGGCACGCAGGCGGUUAUUUAAGUGAGGUGUGAAAGCCCCGGGCUUAACCUGGGAAUUGCAUUUCAGACUGGGUAACUAGAGUACUUUAGGGAGGGGUAGAAUUCCACGUGUAGCGGUGAAAUGCGUAGAGAUGUGGAGGAAUACCGAAGGCGAAGGCAGCCCCUUGGGAAUGUACUGACGCUCAUGUGCGAAAGCGUGGGGAGCAAACAGGAUUAGAUACCCGCGUAGUCCCUGUCUCUUAUAA